Molecule: long non-coding RNA, 595 nt
Filed under: Citrus maxima (pomelo)
Lineage: Eukaryota; Viridiplantae; Streptophyta; Magnoliopsida; Sapindales; Rutaceae
Description: long non-coding RNA (CMAX_LNC004149)
Source: RNAcentral
UUUGAAUAGAGUACAAGUAGAUUGACUAAUAAUGAAUAUAUUGUAUCAAGUUGUUGCAUUUGAAAACUGUGCAUGACUGCGGUCUUUAUCACUUUUAUUCUCAAGGUUCAUGUUGACCUAAAUUUAAAAGCCUUGGACGUUUGGAAAAUCUAUAGCACUGAGUUUGCGAAACCUUUUAGUGCCCUGAAAGAUUGACUGCUUCAAUUGUGUUUUCAAUAUCUUGUUAUUAACAUAUUUGUAUAUAUGUUAAUAUCUUGUGGAUGACUGAGAAAGUUUAUUCAUUUUGACAGAUUGCUUUUUGAAUAGAGUACAAGUAGAUUGACUAAUAAUGAAUAUAUUGUAUCAAGUUGUUGCAUUUGAAAACUGUGCAUGACUGCGGUCUUUAUCACUUUUAUUCUCAAGGUUCAUGUUGACCUAAAUUUAAAAGCCUUGGACGUUUGGAAAAUCUAUAGCACUGAGUUUGCGAAACCUUUUAGUGCCCUGAAAGAUUGACUGCUUCAAUUGUGUUUUCAAUAUCUUGUUAUUAACAUAUUUGUAUAUAUUAUGAAGGCUAAGCUGUGUAAAUGAGAGAUAAAACAUAAAAGGUCAAUACACA